CGUAUCCAACCUGCCGUCUACUCUUGGCCAGCCUUCUGAAAGGAAGAUUAAUCCAGGAUGGGAUCAUGAGUUCACAUGUCCGCAUGAUUAAAGGUAUUUUCCGGUAGACGAUGGGGAUGCGUUCCAUUAGAUAGUAGACGGGGUAACGGCCCACCUAGUCAACGAUGGAUAGGGGUUCUGAGAGGAAGGUCCCCCACAUUGGAACUGAGACACGGUCCAAACUCCUACGGGAGGCAGCAGUGAGGAAUAUUGGUCAAUGGGCGAUGGCCUGAACCAGCCAAGUAGCGUGAAGGAUGACUGCCCUAUGGGUUGUAAACUUCUUUUAUAAAGGAAUAAAGUCGGGUAUGCAUACCCGUUUGCAUGUACUUUAUGAAUAAGGAUCGGCUAACUCCGUGCCAGCAGCCGCGGUAAUACCGGAGGAUCCGAGCGUUAUCCGGAUUUAUUGGGUUUAAAGGGGAGGCGUAGGAUGGAUGUUUAAGUCAGUUGU
RNAcentral lists this ribosomal RNA (487 nucleotides) under uncultured Bacteroidales bacterium. Its description in RNAcentral is "bacterial SSU rRNA". It matches the Rfam family "Bacterial small subunit ribosomal RNA", at positions 116 to 595 of the family's 1533-position model. Lineage: Bacteria; Pseudomonadati; Bacteroidota; Bacteroidia; Bacteroidales. The record is from RNAcentral.